This 491-nucleotide ribosomal RNA is filed under the name Enterobacter sp. MF024. Its description in RNAcentral is "bacterial SSU rRNA". It matches the Rfam family "Bacterial small subunit ribosomal RNA", at positions 1052 to 1533 of the family's 1533-position model. Lineage: Bacteria; Pseudomonadati; Pseudomonadota; Gammaproteobacteria; Enterobacterales; Enterobacteriaceae. The record is from RNAcentral.
UCGUCAGCUCGUGUUGUGAAAUGUUGGGUUAAGUCCCGCAACGAGCGCAACCCUUAUCCUUUGUUGCCAGCGGUUAGGCCGGGAACUCAAAGGAGACUGCCAGUGAUAAACUGGAGGAAGGUGGGGAUGACGUCAAGUCAUCAUGGCCCUUACGAGUAGGGCUACACACGUGCUACAAUGGCGCAUACAAAGAGAAGCGACCUCGCGAGAGCAAGCGGACCUCAUAAAGUGCGUCGUAGUCCGGAUUGGAGUCUGCAACUCGACUCCAUGAAGUCGGAAUCGCUAGUAAUCGUAGAUCAGAAUGCUACGGUGAAUACGUUCCCGGGCCUUGUACACACCGCCCGUCACACCAUGGGAGUGGGUUGCAAAAGAAGUAGGUAGCUUAACCUUCGGGAGGGCGCUUACCACUUUGUGAUUCAUGACUGGGGUGAAGUCGUAACAAGGUAACCGUAGGGGAACCUGCGGUUGGAUCACCUCCUUACCUUAAAGAA